CCAGACUUGGCGGGCGGCCUCCGUGUUGCAAAAAUAGGCCACGGGCACAGCCGCGCCCAAAAAACAGCCCCCGAAGUUCGGGGUCCCAAGACCCCCCAACGGAAAAAUGGCCAAAAAACGGGUGGGCCAUAGCCUUGGUGGGGGGCGUGGGCGAAGUUCGUCCGCGGGACUCGGAAUGGCACCAGACCUGGCGGGCGGCCUCCGUGUGCCAAAAAUAGGCCACGGGCACAGCCGCGCCCAAAAAACAGCCCCCGAAGGUCUGGGUCCCAAGACCCCCCAGCGGAAAAAUGGCCAAAAAACGGGUGGGCCAUAGCCUUGGUGGGGGGCGUGGGCGAAGUUCGUCCGCGGGACUCGGAAUGGCACCAGACUUGGCGGGCGGCCUCCGUGUUGCAAAAAUAGGCCACGGGCACAGCCGCGCCCAAAAAACAAUCCCCGAAGUUCGGGGUCCCAAGACCCCCCAGCGGAAAAAUGGCCAAAAAACGGGUGGGCUAUAGCCUUGGUGGGGGACGUGGGCGAAGUUCAUCCGCGGGACUCGGAAUGGCACCAGACUUGGCGGGCGGCCUCCGUGUUGCAAAAAUAGGCCACGGGCACAGCCGCGCCCAAAAAACAGCCCCCGAAGUUCGGGGUCCCAAGACCCCCCAGCGGAAAAAUGGCCAAAAAACGGGUGGGCCAUAGCCUUGGUGGGGGGCGUGGGCGAAGUUCGUCCGCGGGACUCGGAAUGGCACCAGACCUGGCGGGCGGCCUCCGUGUGCCAAAAAUAGGCCACGGGCACAGCCGCGCCCAAAAAACAGCCCCCGAAGGUCUGGGUCCCAUUACCCCCCAGCGGAAAAAUGGCCAAAAAACGGGUGGGCCAUAGCCUUGGUGGGGGGCGUGGGCGAAGUUCGUCCGCGGGACUCGGAAUGGCACCAGACUUGGCGGGCGGCCUCCGUGUGGCAAAAAUAGGCCACGGGCACAGCCGCGCCCAAAAAACAACCCCCGAAGUUCGGGGUCCCAAGACCCCCCAGCGGAAAAAUGGCCAAAAAACGGGUGGGCCAUAGCCUUGGUGGGGGGCGUGGGCGAAGUUCAUCCGCGGGACUCGGAAUGGCACCAGACUUGGCGGGCGGCCUCCGUGUUGCAAAAAUAGGCCACGGGCACAGCCGCGCCCAAAAAACAGCCCCCGAAGUUCGGGGUCCCAAGACCCCCCAGCGGAAAAAUGGCCAAAAAACGGGUGGGCCAUAGCCUUGGUGGGGGGCGUGGGCGAAGUUCGUCCGCGGGACUCGGAAUGGCACCAGACUUGGCGGGAGGCCUCCGUGUGCCAAAAAUAGGCCACGGGCACAGCCGCGCCCAAAAAACAGCCCCCGAAGUUCGGGGUCCCAAGACCCCCCAGCGGAAAAAUGGCCAAAAAACGGGUGGGCUAUAGCCUUGGUGGGGGGCGUGGGCGAAGUUCGUCCGUGGUACUCGGAAUGGCACCANN
Molecule: long non-coding RNA, 1453 nt
Filed under: Citrus x clementina
Lineage: Eukaryota; Viridiplantae; Streptophyta; Magnoliopsida; Sapindales; Rutaceae
Description: Citrus clementina (C. clementina) long non-coding RNA (CCLE_LNC005051)
Source: RNAcentral